GCAAAGCGUGCGGAUUCGGACGUAGAGAUACCAAGGCAGAAGAAAAAGGAAAGCAAGCUCAGUUCAUCUGCCAAGCGCACAGCAGUGGAAUCUGACGGAGAGACACCGAGGGCUAAGAAAAAGCUGGUUCCAAAGAGAAAGCGUUCUGCGGUAAAGAAACCCGGCGAGGAGUGGCGCGU
Molecule: long non-coding RNA, 179 nt
Organism: Pectinophora gossypiella (pink bollworm)
Lineage: Eukaryota; Metazoa; Arthropoda; Insecta; Lepidoptera; Gelechiidae
Exons: 3
Source: RefSeq, a predicted model, not a curated record